RNAcentral lists this unclassified non-coding RNA (3023 nucleotides) under Hevea brasiliensis (rubber tree). Lineage: Eukaryota; Viridiplantae; Streptophyta; Magnoliopsida; Malpighiales; Euphorbiaceae. The record is from RNAcentral.
CAGAAAUGGAAACGUAAUAAUCAGUUUGAUUAACACAAAGCAAAUCCUUUUUUUCAUUUUCAAUAAUUUCUUCAACGAGGGGAAAUCUUUCCCAUUCGAUUUCUCGUUUGCUAUGCUUAGAGAGGGAAAGAGAAGUUUUGAAGAAGGAAGGGCCUCUCUUUCUUUGUUAUCCUCGAUUUUGUGAAAUCAAUGGAUGCAAAACCAAAGAGAAGAACUGUUGUAGAAAAUGGGGAUGGGGGAGAGGUUUUAGUCCUUGCAACUUUAAUUGGCAAUGGAGAUGAUGUGGGUCCCAUUGUCAGGCAUGCGUUUGAAAUGGGAAGGCCUGAAGCACUCCUUCACCAGCUCAAGAUUGUUGUCAGGAAGAAGGAAGCUGAAAUUGAAGACCUCUGCAAGAGCCAUUAUGAGGAAUUCAUUCUUGCAGUUGAUGAGCUUCGUGGUGUCUUGGUUGAUGCUGAAGAGCUUAAAAGUGAGCUUGCAAGUGACAACUUUAGGUUGCAGGAGGUAGGGAGUGGACUUUUGAUCAAACUUGAGGAACUUCUUGAAUCUUAUUCAAUCAAGAAAAAUGUGACUAAAGCUAUUAAAAUGUCAAAGAUUUGUCUUCAAGCUUUGGAACUUUGUGCUAAGUGUAACAAUCACAUGUCUGAGGGCCAGUUUUACCCUGCAUUGAAAACAGUGGAUCUGAUUGAGAAGAGUUACUUGCUGAAUAUCCCUGUGAAGACACUUAGAAUGACAAUAGAAAAGACAAUUCCUGUGAUAAAAUCACAUAUUGAGAAAAAAGUGACUAGUCAAUUUAAUGAAUGGCUAGUUCAUGUGAGAAGUUCUGCAAAGAAUAUUGGGAAAACAGCAAUAGGUCAUGCUGCAUCAGCUCGUCAGAGGGAUGAGGAGAUGCUUGAACAUCAGAGGAAAUCUGAGGAACAGAAUGUUUCGGGCUUAGGAGAUUUUGUAUACACUUUAGAUGUUGAGGAACUGGAUGAAGAUUCUGUUUUGAAGUUCGAUCUUACUCCUUUUUAUCGGGCAUAUCACAUCCACUCUAGCCUUGGAAUCCAUGAGCAGUUUCGUGAAUAUUACUAUAGGAAUCGGCUACUGCAGCUGAAUUCAGAUCUGCAAAUCUCUUCUUCUCAACCAUUUCUUGAAUCGUAUCAAUCAUUUUUCGCGCAAAUUGCAGGUUACUUUAUAUUGGAGGACCGGCUGUUGAGGACUGGUGGUGGUGUUCUGUUAGCAGAUCAGGUUGAGACCAUGUGGGAUACUGCUGUAACUAAAAUAACUUCUGUUUUGGAGGAACAGUUUUCUCGUAUGGAUUCUGCUACUCAUCUUCUUCUGGUGAAGGAUUAUGUAACUCUUCUUGGUGCAACUCUUAGACAAUAUGGGUAUGAAGUAGGCCAAAUUCUUGAUGCACUGGACAACAGCCGGGACAAGUACCAUGAACUUCUUCUGGGAGAGUGUCGGGAGCAAAUUGUUAACAUUCUUGGCAAUGACACCUAUGAGCAGAUGGUAAUGAAAAAGGAUACUGAUUAUGAGAAUAAUGUCUUGUCCUUCCAUCUCCAGACCUCAGAUAUAAUGCCAGCUUUUCCAUAUAUUGCUCCAUUCUCCUCUAUGGUACCAGAUACUUGUCGUAUUGUUAGAUCAUUCAUCAAAGGAUCUGUUGAUUACUUGUCUUAUGGGGUGCAUACUAAUUUUUAUGAUGUUGUGAAAAAGUAUUUGGAUAAGCUUUUGAUUGAUGUGUUAAAUGAAGUUAUACUGAGUACUAUUCAUAGUGGUGCAGUUGGUGUCUCCCAAGCCAUGCAGAUUGCUGCAAAUAUAUCUGUUCUUGAAAGAGCUUGUGAUUUUUAUCUUCGACAUGCAGCCCAACUAUGUGGUAUCCCAGCCCGAUCAGUUGAAAGACCUCAUGCCAGUUUGACUGCCAAGGUGGUUCUGAGAACUUCUAAGGAUGCGGCAUAUCUGGCUCUGCUGAAUUUGGUGAACACUAAAUUGGAUGAGUUUAUGGCACUUACUGAAAAUAUCAAUUGGAUUUCAGAGGAGCCAUUGCAAAAUGGGAAUGAGUAUAUAAAUGAGGUGGUAAUAUACCUUGACACUAUUCUUUCAACAGCACAGCAAAUUCUACCUGUGGAUGCUCUAUACAAGGUUGGAAGUGGAGCUUUUGAGCAUAUUUCCAAUUCCAUUGUUGCUGCAUUUCUCAGUGAUAGCGUUAAGAGGUUCAAUGCUAAUGCAGUUCUGGCCCUUAAUGAUGACCUAAAGAUAUUAGAGAAUUUCGCUGAUGAGAGAUUUCGCAACACUGGCCUGAGUGAGAUAUAUAAAGAUGGUAGUUUUAGAGGUUUCUUGAUAGAAGCAAGACAAUUGAUUAAUCUUUUGUCUAGCAGCCAACCAGAGAACUUCAUGAAUCCUGUGAUAAGACAGAAAAACUAUAAUGCUCUGGAUUAUAAGAAAGUAGCCAGCGUCUGUGAGAAAUUCAAGGAUUCUCCUGAUGGAAUCUUUGGUAGCCUUUCAAGCAGAAAUACAAAGCAAAGUGCACGAAAGAAAUCAAUGGAUGUACUGAAGAAAAGAUUGAAGGACUUCAACUGAGGAGGUUCAUAAAAUGUCACCCAGGAUUAGUAGAUCUGUGUUAUUCCGAUCCCUGUGUUAUUCCGAUCCCACCCCUCCCCUAUCACCCCAUUUUGAGUUGCACAUUCCCAUUUUCCUUUGUUGACAAUUUGAAGGUAAUGGAGUUUUCAAUUUUCUGUUGAUUAAAUUCUUAUAAUGAAGCUUUAAUAUUUCCCUUCAACUCUGAUAUCAAGGGUGUCUUCUCAGUGAAAACUAUAUUGCUUCUGCAUCUUAUGCAUGCAUCUCCUUUCUUAUAUUGGAGAAAAGUAGGUGAAUAUAUGUCGAGUCCAAUUGCUUUAAGAAGGACCAGAUGCUUCUGCAUUUGCUCUUUGACAAUCUUACUAAUUUGGUUUUUUUUUCCCCCUUUCUUGGCCCCCCUAUAUUUGGUGGUUGUAUGGGGAAAGAAUUUGCAAUAUACUUAUUGUUCUUUUAUCAUUUAUUUCAGC